CACCUUUAGCUGAUGCCAGUCUAUUGUUCUGUCAUUCACGGUCGCUCAACCAACCUGUAAAGACCGUACUCCGUUUUUUCUCACGGACAUGUCGGCAGCGCGCCGUAAGCCGAAAUGUGUGGCGUCGGGAAGAGAUUCAAGGGCCUGGGAAGAAGUUCUUUGAGUUACCGUCCCGUCCACGACCACGACAACCUCCAGAGCAUCGCCAAACUGUCUUGCUACCCGAGGAGCCAUGACAACUUUCUGGCUCGUUCUACGAGGAGACCUGCGGUGUUCCACAAGCGGUGGGCGAAGAAGAUGCGUCCAUACCGACCGGCCCUGUUCUAUGCAGUAUCCGAAGAACAACAAUUCAGAGACUCUCGACUGUUGACUGAGUAAAGUCACCUCGCGUUUCGUGAGGAAGGUGAUGCGUGCGUACCUACCUGCCCUGUCGUAUG
This is a long non-coding RNA of Branchiostoma floridae (Florida lancelet), 437 nucleotides long. RefSeq lists it as uncharacterized. The record is from RefSeq and is a predicted model, not a curated record. NCBI's taxonomy places the organism in Eukaryota, Metazoa, Chordata, Leptocardii, Amphioxiformes, Branchiostomatidae. The transcript is spliced from 3 exons.